Coregonus clupeaformis (lake whitefish) is the source of this 211-nucleotide long non-coding RNA. RefSeq lists it as uncharacterized. NCBI's taxonomy places the organism in Eukaryota, Metazoa, Chordata, Actinopteri, Salmoniformes, Salmonidae. The record is from RefSeq and is a predicted model, not a curated record. The transcript has 3 exons.
AGGACAAUAAGGCCAUGGACCAGACAACAAACACCUCAGUGGACCCAUUUCCUGCCAAUGGUGAUGAUGUGACUUACAGCACUGUUGUCCCCAAGAGGAGGAACCAGCUAAAUGUACAGACCAAGCAACCCAAGCUCCAACCACUGAACAAUCCUCUUUCUCUCCAACUGCUGAGCCUGUUCAGACUGACAACACAGUCCAAGGACCUGAG